Non-coding RNA from Vicia faba (fava bean), 348 nucleotides. The record is from the annotation of a GenBank genome assembly. NCBI's taxonomy places the organism in Eukaryota, Viridiplantae, Streptophyta, Magnoliopsida, Fabales, Fabaceae.
UUAGUGUUAUCAGGAAGGAGAAGAGAAGAGGAAAAUAAGGUUUUUGGAGAAGAAGAGAGCUACGUGAAGUUGAACCAAGAGGCCAAGAGGAGAUUCAAAUCGGAGACACAUAGAGUUGUCAUCAAAUCAAUCCAAGUAGACAGUAGCAGAAAGUUCAUUAAAACAGUACCGAAUGGACGAAAGAAGAAGAAAAUAUUGUGCCUGGAUGCUGACGAACGGCAGCAUGUUGUUGGUUGGAUGUUGCCGAACGGCAGCUGGUUGUUGUAUAUGGGGGUUACCGUUCGGCAACCUUGGGGUAAAGGAGGAUGUGCCGAUCGACACAAUGAUGAAAGGAGGGGCGUGCCGUGA